This 610-nucleotide ribosomal RNA is filed under the name Peleteria rubescens. RNAcentral's name for it is "partial 12S ribosomal RNA". The stretch from base 1 to 384 matches the Rfam family "Microsporidia small subunit ribosomal RNA", at positions 779 to 1311 of the family's 1311-position model. The record is from RNAcentral. Lineage: Eukaryota; Metazoa; Arthropoda; Insecta; Diptera; Tachinidae.
UAAAAAAUUUGGCGGUGUUUUAGUCUAUUCAGAGGAAUUUGUUUUUUAAUCGAUAAUCCACGAUGGACCUUACUUAAGUUUGUUAUCAGUUUAUAUACCGUCGUUAUUAGAAUAUUUUAUAAGGAAGUUAAUUUUCAAGAUUUUUUUAGAAAAUAUAUCAGAUCAAGGUGUAGCUUAUAUUUAAGUAAAAAUGAAUUACAAUAAAUUUAUUUAUACGAAUAUAAAUUUGAAAUAUUUAUUGAAGGUGGAUUUGAUAGUAAAAUUAUAAAGAUUAAUAAUUUGAUUAUAGCUCUAAAAUAUGCACAUAUCGCCCGUCACUCUUAUUAUUAAGAUAAGAUAAGUCGUAACAUAGUAGAUGUACUGGAAGGUGUAUCUAGAAUGCAAUUUAAAGCUUAUUAAGUAAAGUAUUUCAUUUACAUUGAAAAGAUUUUUGUGCAAAUCAAUAUAAAUUGAUUAGAUUUUAUUUAUUAAUAUAAAUUUAUUUUAAAUAAAAAUUAUUAAAAAUAAUUAUAUAAUAAUUUGUUUUAGUAUUUAAUAUAGAAAAAAUAAUAUUAAUAAUAGUUUAAUAGUAUUGUAAAAUAAAAUUGAAAUAUUUGAAAAAUUUUUAUUA